AUUGAUUCAUCCAUGGAGGAAAAGGCUGCUUUCUGGAGGUCAGAAGUCUGACAGUGCUGGCAGGGCCGCUUUCUCAUGGGGGCUUCAGGAGAGAAUCCUUUUCUUUGCCGUUUCCACCUUCAAGAGGCCACUUGCAUUCCCUGGAGUGUAGCUACUUCUGCUUUCAAGGACAGUCACUCCAACCUGUUUCUAUCUUCAUGUUUCCUUGUUUUUGAUUUGUUCUGUUUUGUUUUGUUUGGCCCUCUUUGCCCACCUGUAUAACCCAGUAUCAUCUCAUAUUAAGACUGUCACGCGCGUUCGUGUGAAGAGACCACCAAACAGACUUUGUAUGAGCAAUAAAGCUUUUUAAUCACCUGGGUGCAGGCGGG
Molecule: long non-coding RNA, 368 nt
Filed under: Homo sapiens (human)
Lineage: Eukaryota; Metazoa; Chordata; Mammalia; Primates; Hominidae
Description: HSALNT0061537
Source: RNAcentral